This 447-nucleotide ribosomal RNA is filed under the name uncultured bacterium. RNAcentral's name for it is "partial 16S ribosomal RNA". It matches the Rfam family "Bacterial small subunit ribosomal RNA", at positions 29 to 523 of the family's 1533-position model. The record is from RNAcentral.
AACGAACGCUGGCGGCAGGCCUAAAACAUGCAAGUCGAACGCCCCGCAAGGGGAGUGGCGCACGGGUGAGUAACGCGUGGGAACGUGCCCUUCACUACGGGACAACGUCGGGAAACUGACGCUAAUACCGUAUAAUGACUCCGGUCCAAAGAUUUAUCGGUGAAGGAGCGGCCCGCGUCUGAUUAGCUAGUUGGUGAGGUAAAGGCUUACCAAGGCGACGAUCAGUAGCAGGUCUGCGAGGAUGAUCGGCCACACUGGGACUGAGACACGGCCCAGACUCCUACGGGAGGCAGCAGUUAGGAAUAUUGGACAAUGGGCGAAAGCCUGAUCCAGCCAUGCCGCGUGUGUGAUGAAGGCCCUAGGGUUGUAAAGCACUUUCGUUGGGGAUGAUAAUGACCGUACCCAAAGAAGAAGCACCGGCUAACUUCGUGCCAGCAGCCGCAGUAA